Long non-coding RNA from Ochotona princeps (American pika), 552 nucleotides. RefSeq lists it as uncharacterized. The transcript has 3 exons. Lineage: Eukaryota; Metazoa; Chordata; Mammalia; Lagomorpha; Ochotonidae. The record is from RefSeq and is a predicted model, not a curated record.
UGAAGACAUUGUUUUCACUUUGAAAUGUUUUACUAAUGAAUUGUCAUAUACUACUCUCGUUUUGAUUGGCUGUCACUCAUGUUUGCAGUGUUUGCUCUCCAGUGUCUUACCAAAAGGACACAAAAUGUGUGAGCUUAUGAUUAUUAAUGAAGGAGUAAACUACUGGAAGAAAGAGACAGUAUAGGAAGAAAAAUUUCACAGUUCUUGACUUGGAUUCAAAUCUUUUUAUACAGAGCUGAGAAUAAGGCAUGUGGUUUAGAACUUCCAGCUGUCUGAGAGCAACUCCAUAUGGAUCCAUUAGCCUCACCCUCCCUCUGUCGGAGGCAAAUGUGGAGAUACAAGAACAUAAAGGCAGAUAAAAGAAAUGAAGAAAUCAUUGAGUGGCAGGACUGAAAACAGUACUAAGGAGAUGGAACACAGUAAGAAGAACCAAACAGAAAUUUUGGAGAACUCUUCAAACUAUGAAACUAAAAGUGGCACUGAGAGCUUUAACAGAAUCAACUCAGUCAAAACAAGAAUUUCUGAGUCAAGGACAGGGCUUUGAAACAACCC